This 330-nucleotide unclassified non-coding RNA is filed under the name uncultured Tremellaceae. RNAcentral's name for it is "sequence contains ITS1". The stretch from base 1 to 105 matches the Rfam family "5.8S ribosomal RNA", at positions 50 to 154 of the family's 154-position model. Lineage: Eukaryota; Fungi; Basidiomycota; Tremellomycetes; Tremellales; Tremellaceae. The record is from RNAcentral.
GAAGUGCGAUAACUAAUGUGAAUUGCAGCAUUCAGUGAAUCACCCAAUCUUUGAACGCACCUUGCGCCUUUUGGUAUUCCGAACGGCAUGCCUGUUUGCGUGUCAUGAAAUCUCAAUCCCCCCGGGUUUUCUGAACCCGAGGUGGACUUGGACAUGGGUUGCUGCCGGCUCGUACGGCUCGCCUUAAAUGACUCAGUGGGAUCUUCAGCAUCCGUGGCAGACGUAAUAAGUUUCGUCUCGUCCCUUGCUGUGAGGACCGCGCAUAACCUGCCAUCGCGCACCACUUUUGACUCUGACCUCAAAUCAGGUAGGACUACCCGCUGAACUUAA